UCCCUUGUAGCUCAGCUGGUAAAGAAUCUGCCUGCAAUGCAAGAGACCCUGGUUCGAUUCCUGGGUAGGGAA
This 72-nucleotide transfer RNA is filed under the name Bos taurus (domestic cattle). It matches the Rfam family "tRNA". Rfam says of the family: Transfer RNA (tRNA) molecules are approximately 80 nucleotides in length. Their secondary structure includes four short double-helical elements and three loops (D, anti-codon, and T loops). Further hydrogen bonds mediate the characteristic L-shaped molecular structure. tRNAs have two regions of fundamental functional importance: the anti-codon, which is responsible for specific mRNA codon recognition, and the 3' end, to which the tRNAs corresponding amino acid is attached (by aminoacyl-tRNA synthetases). tRNAs cope with the degeneracy of the genetic code in two manners: having more than one tRNA (with a specific anti-codon) for a particular amino acid; and 'wobble' base-pairing, i.e. permitting non-standard base-pairing at the 3rd anti-codon position. The record is from Rfam by way of RNAcentral. RNAcentral also lists the same sequence under 4 other names. Lineage: Eukaryota; Metazoa; Chordata; Mammalia; Artiodactyla; Bovidae.